CUCCCACAAACUCAAUCUCCCUAUCAGGCGGCAUACCUGAUAGCUCCGCUGUAAACACAUCACAAAACUCCCGUACCACCGGAAUAUCCUCAAUCCUAGGGCUAUCAUCAUUAUCCCUCAACACCACACUAACCAUAUAGGCUACACAACCCUUGCUGAUCAACUGUCUAGCUCGAGACGAGCUGAUCGUCAUGGCAAACAGCGAACUCUGACAUCCUCUAAAAAUCACUUCCUCCUGCCCCGGUUCUCUAAACGUGACCGUUCGAUUCUUGCAAUCGACAGUGGCGAAGUAUCUCAU
This 298-nucleotide long non-coding RNA is filed under the name Ananas comosus (pineapple). Its description in RNAcentral is "long non-coding RNA (ACOM_LNC025942)". The record is from RNAcentral. Lineage: Eukaryota; Viridiplantae; Streptophyta; Magnoliopsida; Poales; Bromeliaceae.